Molecule: ribosomal RNA, 493 nt
Filed under: uncultured bacterium
Lineage: Bacteria
Description: partial 16S ribosomal RNA
Rfam family: Bacterial small subunit ribosomal RNA
Source: RNAcentral
GACGAACGCUGGCGGCGUGCCUAACACAUGCAAGUUGAGCGACGAACCAGGGCUUGCCCUGGAGCAAAGCAGCGAACGGGUGAGUAACACGUGGGUAACCUACCCCGAUAACCGGGACAACCCGAGGAAACUCGGGCUAAUACCGGAUGUGCUCACUGGACUUCGGUUCAGUGCGUAAAGGAAGCUUCGGCCUCCGUAUCGGGAGGGGCCCGCGGCCCAUUAGUUUGUUGGUGAGGUAACGGCUCACCAAGACCGCGAUGGGUAGCUGGUCUGAGAGGACGAUCAGCCACACUGGGACUGAGACACGGCCCAGACUCCUACGGGAGGCAGCAGUGGGGAAUCUUGCGCAAUGCGCGAAAGCGUGACGCAGCAACGCCGCGUGGGGGAAGAAGGCCUUCGGGUUGUAAACCCCUUUCAGGAGGGACGAAGGUUCGGCGGUGAAUAGCCGUCCGGACUGACGGUACCUCCACAAGAAGCCCCGGCUAACUACGUG